Molecule: long non-coding RNA, 1474 nt
Filed under: Equus asinus (donkey)
Lineage: Eukaryota; Metazoa; Chordata; Mammalia; Perissodactyla; Equidae
Description: lncRNA (ENSEASG00005032671.1)
Source: RNAcentral
CAUCAGGCCAUCUUCGAACUGGUAGGAUAACGUGUGGUCACUGGCCUCAUCUUUCUACUGGUGGUUGGUCGUGUCUCAUCCGUUCUUUCCUCCAGCUCCAAUUCAUUGACUCAGGUGACUCAUUGAUAAAAUUAUUCAGCCGGGAAAUAUUAUUUGAGAACUAACACGCUACUAAGAGCUAUCGAUACAGUGGUAAGGAAUGCAUACUGUCCUUGUGGAGGUUAUGGCACAGUGCAGGAGACAGAUAACGGUCAGGGAACCACACAAACCAUCAUAACUGUGGCAAUUGCUUGGAAGGAGAGAGAUGUAAUGCCACAGGAAUCUACAAUUUCUGUGUUUGAUUUAGUCAAAGAAGUCAGGAAAGACUUCUGGCAGUGGCCAAAAGACGCAGGGGGGAGACAAGAACAUUCUAGACACAGGGAACAGCUUGUGCAAAGGCCCUGAGGCAAGAGGGAGGAUGGCAGUAUGAGUAAAUAAAAGAAGGCCAGGGGUGGCUGAAUUGCAGAGUUAGGGGCUUGUAGAAGAAGCAGCAGCUGGAGAGGUUGAUAGGAGCUGAAAACCACGUGAGACUUGAAGGCUAGGUUAAGGAGUUUGCAAUGCUUUCAAAGAGCAGUAGGAAGCUAACUAGGAUUGUAAACAGGUGUGUCUUGAUCAGAUCUGUAUUUUGCGGGAAAAAAAAUCACUCUCAUUGUGUUUGGAAUAAGAGGCCAGAGACGGGCCAGGUUGAUGUAUUAGUUUUGUAUUUCUGCUGAAACAAGUUACCACAAUGAAGCAGUUUAACACAAUAUUGGAGUUUUUGUAGGUCAGCAGCCGGGGCACAGCUGGGUUCUCCUUUAGGAUCUCCCGGGGUAGAAAUACAGGCAUCAGCUGGGCUGAGGGCCUCCUCUCAAUUUCGGGGGUUGUUGGCAGAAUUCAUUUCCUCCUCCAGCUGUCCACGCAGCCCCUCCCAUCUUCAGGGCGGUGAUGGAAGGAUGUGUUCCAGGCCUCUCUCCUGGGCUUGUGGAUGCCAUCUUCUCCCUGUGGAUUCGCAUCGUCUUCCUUCUGUAUGGAGGGGGUUCGAAGGAGACAGAGAGGGGUUCAAGCCUAUCAAAGCAGUGAAGGAUCAAGAAGAUUCCACAGAGAAGGAGCCAUGAGAAGUGGGGUGUGGAUGCUCCACACAGAGAGAGCGCUCAUGUUCUAGCCUCGUCUCCACUGUAUUCUUUUCCUAGAAGCAGUCCAUGAUCAAAGUUCAAGUGAAAGUCAUUGAAGAGAUCUGAAGUCCCCAAACGGGGGACAUUAGUUAUACUGCACUACCAACUCAGCCUCAGGCGCAUAUAGGGCAGCUUAGAUUCUGAAGAAAGUGUCUGGGACCACAGAGAAGACCAGCUUCAGACAUUUUGGGAUAGACUAGUUCUUUGCUGGGGCCUAAAGCUCUGCUUUUGGAACAUUUAAAAUGUAGCAAAAACCUUGAGAAUAAAAGAAAACUUACGUUUUA